AUUGAACGCUGGCGGCAGGCUUAACACAUGCAAGUCGAGCGGGGUGAUGGUGCUUGCACUAUCACUUAGCGGCGGACGGGUGAGUAAUGCUUAGGAAUCUGCCUAUUAGUGGGGGACAACAUCUCGAAAGGGAUGCUAAUACCGCAUACGUCCUACGGGAGAAAGCAGGGGAUCACUUGUGACCUUGCGCUAAUAGAUGAGCCUAAGUCGGAUUAGCUAGUUGGUGGGGUAAAGGCCUACCAAGGCGACGAUCUGUAGCGGGUCUGAGAGGAUGAGCCACCACACUGGGACUGAGACACGGCCCAGCCUCCUACGGGAGGCAGCAGUGGGGAAUAUUGGACAAUGGGGGGAACCCUGAUCCAGCCAUGCCGCGUGUGUGAAGAAGGCCUUAUGGUUGUAAAGCACUUUAAGCGAGGAGGAGGCUCUUUUGGUUAAUACCCAAGAUGAGUGGACGUUACUCGCAGAAUAAGCACCGGCUAACUCUGUGCCAGCCGCCGCAGUAA
This 503-nucleotide ribosomal RNA is filed under the name uncultured bacterium. RNAcentral describes it as "partial 16S ribosomal RNA". It matches the Rfam family "Bacterial small subunit ribosomal RNA", at positions 30 to 523 of the family's 1533-position model. The record is from RNAcentral.